RNAcentral lists this small RNA (18 nucleotides) under Arabidopsis thaliana (thale cress). RNAcentral describes it as "ATSL075490". The record is from RNAcentral. Lineage: Eukaryota; Viridiplantae; Streptophyta; Magnoliopsida; Brassicales; Brassicaceae.
UUUUUUUUUCAGUUGUAU